Molecule: ribosomal RNA, 397 nt
Filed under: uncultured bacterium
Lineage: Bacteria
Description: partial 16S ribosomal RNA
Rfam family: Bacterial small subunit ribosomal RNA
Source: RNAcentral
AUACGUAGGUGGCUAGCGUUGUCCGGAAUUAUUGGGCGUAAAGCGCGCGCAGGCGGUCCUUUAAGUCUGAUGUGAAAGCCCACGGCUCAACCGUGGAGGGUCAUUGGAAACUGGGGGACUUGAGUGCAGAAGAGGAAAGUGGAAUUCCAAGUGUAGCGGUGAAAUGCGUAGAGAUUUGGAGGAACACCAGUGGCGAAGGCGACUUUCUGGUCUGUAACUGACGCUGAGGCGCGAAAGCGUGGGGAGCAAACAGGAUUAGAUCCCCUGGUAGUCCACGCCGUAAACGAUGAGUGCUAAGUGUUAGGGGGUUUCCGCCCCUUAGUGCUGCAGCUAACGCAUUAAGCACUCCGCCUGGGGAGUACGGUCGCAAGACUGAAACUCAAAGGAAUUGACGGGG